GUAACAAUCAACUGCUAAUCUACAGGUGCUUGGAAGAAAUAUUGAUAAUAAUGUUGGGAAGAUUAUCAGGGAAGUAUCAUUGGAUAGCCAUAUCAUCCCUGAUGAGUCCCACGGAGAGCAUCCUGCCCUUGCGCCCUCAACCUCUUCCUCUGAUCAUGCGACGGGGUUCUUUCUUACCUACUCACUCAUUUCAAGCUAAUGGCUGAAGAUCUUGCUUAUGUAGUUAUGUUAGCCCACUUUUGUCGUUUAACCUGGGAGGGCAUGUUCCAUGUCUCAAGAGAAAGGGGAGGAAUUUUUCAAGUAUUGCUCUAAAGUUUAUGAGGAUGGUGCAGCUAGCAGUGGGACUGGUAUUUAAUAUUUACAUAGAUUAUGAAGGCUUAAAUAUAUAGGUGUACUCAUGUUUUAGUUUCCAUAUCCCUUCCAGCGUUCUUGUGCUUUCUUUAACCUUGGUUGUGGUACAAUUUCUAAAGAUUAAAAAUAAUUGAGAGUUGGGGCGCUAAUCUAUCUUCUAUAUAUAUAUGGGUUAUUGGGCAAUCGCAAGAAGAAUGAUGGUUGUUUUAUUGUGUCUCUUCCUUAAUGUGGUCAAUCCAGUGAUGCAACUGCUCCAUUGAGUUUCAAGCUGAAAAUUGGUCAUCCAAAUGGCCCUUAAGCGGUUCUAUGCCUAUCCGCUAGCUACGGUUCUCAGGUUUGCAUCAAUGAAGAUAACAUGGAUACUUCGGCUUUGUGAGACAGGUUCGAUGGCACAAAGCACCCUAGUGAGCUGCUGAACGAGAGAGGGCGCAGGUUCAAAUCAAAUGAAAUCAGGAUAGCAACAGUUCAGGAGCUGGUUAAUCUUAACAGUCAUGUUAACCGGGAUAAACAAUGCCAGUGCAAGAUCACGAUCGAUGGCAUACAACCUAGCGAGAACUGGUGGUUCCGGUCUUGUGAUGAAUGCACCUGGGGAAUGCAGCCAGAUGGCGACAGCUCUAAGUGCACGAAAGAAGGUUGCACCAAUAAGAGUAUAUGGGGUGCCUAAUAUAGCUUCCGACAGAUGCGCAUCUCUCCAGAUGGUUCUGUUUGGUGAAGUUGCAUGACAGAUGAUCGUCAAAAACGCCAAACGCCCUUGUGGCUGAAUCCUAUGGCCUUUUUAACGCCAUGCCUACUGAAAUUACUUGCUUGGUUGGAAGGAUGUCCACUUUUCGUUUCGGCUGGAGAACAUCUCCUAGGUCCCUAAAUUUUACCCCGAGGGCAGCACUGUUUUCCUUAGCUUUGAAGGAGCAACACCUGUUCUCGCUGAUACUGAUCCCGGAGAGGCUUCUAUGUCAUAUGUGCCUACUGGGAAAGACAUAGGCACAGGGCGUUGGUGCACACCUUGCUCCAUGUGGGCCAUCUAUUCCGCCUCCUCCUGCUAUGGAGGCACCUAGCAAGGAAGUGGUAGAAGCUAAAGGAGUCGGCGCUGCUACUCCUAACGAUGCUAUGCAUGGGAUCGACGGGCAAGAGGGCUCUUGAUGGAUUGGUUAACCCUUCAGCUUUGAAAAAACUUUUCAGUGGCAAGCUGGAUGAAUGUUCUGAUAGGCGCUCUGCUGAUUAGCCCUCCCGUUACCGCUCCGUCUUGUUUGGUCUUCGGGUGGUGAGCUUGGUCGGCUGCUUGACGCAUCUGUUCCAGUUGAGAAGCUGGCUUUCUUGGCGUUUUGUGUAGUUUAUUAAGUUUAGCCUGUGAAACGUUUGGUCUGUGCCUGAACAACAUGGUCUGCAUCGUGUUUUGUGUAGAUUGUGCCUGUAAUAUAUUUAUAUUUAUGCA
Long non-coding RNA from Lolium perenne, 1780 nucleotides. RefSeq lists it as uncharacterized. NCBI's taxonomy places the organism in Eukaryota, Viridiplantae, Streptophyta, Magnoliopsida, Poales, Poaceae. The record is from RefSeq and is a predicted model, not a curated record.